GAUGAACGCUAGCGGCAGGCCUAAUACAUGCAAGACGAACGGUAAGUUGAGUAGCAAUACUUAGCCAAGAGUGUCGUACGGGUGCGUAACACGUAUGCAACCUACCCUAUACAGGAGGAUAGCCUAGGGAAACCUGGAUUAACCCUUCAUAGUAUUAUUGGAUGGCAUCAUUUGAUAAUUAAAACUGAGGUGGUAUAGGAUGGGCAUGCGUCUGAUUAGUUAGUUGGCGGGGUAAUGGCCCACCAAGACGAUGAUCAGUAGGGGUUCUGAGAGGAAGAUCCCCCACACUGGCACUGAGAUACGGGCCAGACUCCUACGGGAGCAGCAGUAGGGAAUUAUUGGUCAAUGGAUGCAAGUCUGAACCAGCCAUGCCGCGUGCAGGAAGAAGGCCUUCUGGGUUGUAAACUGCUUUUGCCAGGGGGAUAAAAUUUCCAUGCGUGGAAAACUGAAGGUCCU
Molecule: ribosomal RNA, 456 nt
Filed under: uncultured bacterium
Lineage: Bacteria
Description: bacterial SSU rRNA
Rfam family: Bacterial small subunit ribosomal RNA
Source: RNAcentral